CUGUGGUGCCAUCCUGUUCCCCGUAGUCUGUGGCAGUGAACCUGGCCAAGCUGAAGCUGUUCCGGCAUUACUAUGUCAUGGUCAUCUGCUACGUCUACUUCACCCGCAUCAUCGCCAUCCUGCUGCAGGUGGCUGUGCCCUUUCAGUGGCAGUGGCUGUACCAGCUCUUGGUGGAGGGCUCCACCCUGGCCUUCUUCGUGCUCACGGGCUACAAGUUCCAGCCCACAGGAAACAACCCGUACCUGCAGCUGCCCCAGGAGGACGAGGAGGAUGUUCAGAUGGAGCAAGUAAUGACGGACUCUGGGUUCCGGGAAGGCCUCUCCAAAGUCAACAAAACAGCCAGCGGGCGGGAACUGUUAUGAUCACCUCCACAUCUCAGACCAAAGGGUCGUCCUCCCCCAGCAUUUCUCACUCCUGCCCUUCUUCCACAGCGUAUGUGGGGAGGUGGAGGGGGUCCAUGUGGACCAGGCGCCCAGCUCCCCGGGACCCCGGUUCCCGGACAAGCCCAUUUGGAAGAAGAGUCCCUUCCUCCCCCCAAAUAUUGGGCAGCCCUGUCCUUACCCCGGGACCACCCCUCCCUUCCAGCUAUGUGUACAAUAAUGACCAAUCUGUUUGGCUA
RNAcentral lists this long non-coding RNA (619 nucleotides) under Homo sapiens (human). RNAcentral's name for it is "non-protein coding lnc-C3-1:3". The record is from RNAcentral. Lineage: Eukaryota; Metazoa; Chordata; Mammalia; Primates; Hominidae.